UACGUAGGGAGCAAGCGUUGUCCGGAAUCAUUGGGCGUAAAGCGCGCGUAGGUGGCCUCGUAAGUCCGCUGUGAAAGUCCAAGGCUCAACCUUGGAAAGCCGGUGGAUACUGUGAGGCUAGAGUACGGAAGAGGCGAGUGGAAUUCCUGGUGUAGCGGUGGAAUGCGCAGAUAUCAGGAGGAACACCAAUAGCGAAGGCAGCUCGCUGGGACGUUACUGACACUGAGGCGCGAAAGCGCGGGGAGCGAACAGG
Molecule: ribosomal RNA, 253 nt
Filed under: uncultured bacterium
Lineage: Bacteria
Description: partial 16S ribosomal RNA
Rfam family: Bacterial small subunit ribosomal RNA
Source: RNAcentral